Molecule: long non-coding RNA, 781 nt
Filed under: Dasypus novemcinctus (nine-banded armadillo)
Lineage: Eukaryota; Metazoa; Chordata; Mammalia; Cingulata; Dasypodidae
Description: lncRNA (ENSDNOG00000051980.1)
Source: RNAcentral
UGGCCCGGGGGUGGAGGUGCUGCCCCGUGCUCAGCGGCCCUGGGACCGAAUCCCAUCUCCAAUAUUUCCCAGCGGUGGGACACCCACAACGCACGGGGCCUCUCUGACUCUCACCUUCUCGGCUCAUCUCUGACCUGCUCUCCCUGCGGGAAUGAAAGGGUUAAGUGCGAGGCACCUGCGUUUCAUAUUUUAUUAACGAGUCCAAAAGGAGCCCCUCGCCUGGGCUAGGAGUGAUGGGCCAUGUCCUUGUCGCCUUGGUUUCCAAGUUCCUUCAUCUGCCAGCGUUCACCGCGUGCGCGCACCCGCCCCACUCCUGAGCAGCACCCACGCCAGCCCAGGGUUGGACCUGAGAGCCACUCGCACCGUGGUGACUUAUUAAGCACGGCAUUUGGAAGGUGGCAUUGGCGGUGGAGAAGUGGGCUCUUCAGGCUCAGGAACAUCGUGGACCCUUUUAAACUUCCAGCAUCCCUGGGACUCCCACUCUCCAGAAGAACAGAGCGGGAUGGAAGCUGGAAGGUGCAGGAGACCGCAACCACGAACCAGCUUUCUGAGACCCUGGCCCCCCGCCAGUCCAGCAAGUCCACAGAGAGCAAGAGCAAAGCUGGGUGAGCUGAGCAGAGCGUCACCUUAAGCGGAAACACGGAGGAAGUUGAAGACGUGAUGGGAAAGGUCUUGGUGCCGAAAGGAACCUCGAGAGAGAGAUUUGAAACAGAGACCCUGUGCCUCCACCCAGGCUUGAGGGUGGAGCACCACAGACACAUCUGAGGAGGACCCAAAAGUG